GAUGAACGCUGGCGGCGUGCCUAACACAUGCAAGUCGAACGAUGAAACCGCCCUCGGGCGGACAUGAAGUGGCGAACGGGUGAGUAACACGUGACCAACCUGCCCCUUGCUCCGGGACAACCUUGGGAAACCGAGGCUAAUACCGGAUACUCCUCGCCCCCCUCCUGGGGGGCCCGGGAAAGCCCAGACGGCAAGGGAUGGGGUCGCGGCCCAUUAGGUAGUAGGCGGGGUAACGGCCCACCUAGCCCGCGAUGGGUAGCCGGGUUGAGAGACCGACCGGCCACAUUGGGACUGAGAUACGGCCCAGACUCCUACGGGAGGCAGCAGUGGGGAAUUUUGCGCAAUGGGGGCAACCCUGACGCAGCAACGCCGCGUGCGGGACGACGGCCUUCGGGUUGUAAACCGCUUUCAGCAGGGAAGAACCUCUGACG
This 431-nucleotide ribosomal RNA is filed under the name uncultured bacterium. RNAcentral's name for it is "bacterial SSU rRNA". It matches the Rfam family "Bacterial small subunit ribosomal RNA", at positions 28 to 458 of the family's 1533-position model. The record is from RNAcentral.